GCUCAGUCCUUUGACAAAGUUGAAUAUUCGUCUCAAGCCCAAAUUGCUUUAACACUGGCUAAAGGUUGUCAUUUUCUCUUGCCUCGUUUAGAUAAAGGGAAAUUUUUCCCUUUCUGAUAUUCAAGUUAUAAAGAAUUUAUGUCCUUGAAAAUAUAAAUGUUUUGACUACAGUUUUCAGGAAAUAUGUCCUUUCACUCUCCUGCCGCUUACUGCUGACUUAGACUAUUUCUGUGGCUCUACCAUCUGUACAUGGCUAGGAUGGAUUCUCAACUUCAGCAAAGAUUUAGUGCAACCUCAAACUGUUUUAGGAAAGAAAACAGAUAAAAAGCACAUUUAAGAUUUAAAUUAAUGUAUUUGGGCAUGCUAGUUUGCUGAUGUUCUCAGAUAUAGUGAUGUAAAAAAAAAAAAAGAAAAAGAAAUGGGACUUGCCAGUUUUUAUAGUCCCUAAAAGAAGAACCGAAACAUUUAAAUUGGGCUGCUAGCAUUUAUGUUGGGAUCCCAGAUAGAUAGAUGCUGUCCUUGGCAGCAGAAGAAGCUAGCUAGCCAGGAGUAUGAAGUCAUGUUGACUGCAUCUAAAUUAGUCCCCUAGAAUUCCAAAGGGAGGCUUGCUAUUAACCAUGGCUGACAAUGUCACUUUGACAAAGUGUAUCACGGCUUUCCCCUGGCAUAAAGAAAUACAUACCAAUUUGCCUAAAAAUCUUGCAUGGGAAGUGGGAGGAAGGAGAGUGAUAUUUGGGUGUAUUUCAGGUGGAGGCCAAGCUAAUUGACAAAUUGGACAGCCUGAUGUCGGAGGGCAAAGGUGAUGAAACGUACCGUGAGCUCUUCAACAGUAUGUGAGUAAUGUGUUUCUCUCCACUUGGUUCUAUUCAGGACAUCUGGUGUCGGUCCUGAGCCGUUCUGCACCACAGUAGACGAGAGCUACAGAGACAGCUUGGGUCUCAUAGGAGAGCUUUGUCUUUGUGGAGUGUGAAAUAAAGGAUAAUUGCCUACCUCUAGCAAGUGGAUCUUAUUAUGUUGAUGAUUAGUUAUGUCUCCUUAUUUUAAUCUCCGAUUAGGACAGGUUGCCUAUGUUACAUAACAAAGCUCACUCUUUUCACGCUUGGUAAUUUCAAGGGAAAAUAAGGCCAUUGUUAUAAGAUAAUGAUUUUAAAGAGAGUUAUGAGUGGGAGAGGAGAAAAGUGUGUGAUUAUAACAUUUGUAUACAGUGUUUUCCAAAGUAUGACUCUGGCUGAUUUGCUGUUAGAAAAUUAACUUCGUUUGUGCCUGAUGAUCAGCACCUGCUUCCAUGCUGACCAUUUUUUUUGGCUUGGGACUGUUAAAUACUUCCCCAGUGCUGCUUAUUAGAUUGCCACCAAAGCAAGUCAUUUCUAGUAAAUUUGGUGUUUGGGAUUUGCAAAGAGAAUAGG
This 1406-nucleotide long non-coding RNA is filed under the name Mus musculus (house mouse). Its description in RNAcentral is "long non-coding RNA chr12:40789328-40790734". The record is from RNAcentral. Lineage: Eukaryota; Metazoa; Chordata; Mammalia; Rodentia; Muridae.